UCUACGAAGAGUUUGAUCCUGGCUCAGAUCGAACGCUGGCGGCAUGGCUAAGACAUGCAAGUCGUACGGACCGCUUUUGCUUGCAUUGGCGGUCAGUGGCGAAAGGGAGCGUAAUGCAUGGGCAACGUACCCUUGACUCGGGAACAACCACGGGCUUCGGCCCUUUGCGAAAGUGUGGCUAAUACCCGAUGAAGUCGCGAGAUCGAAUGGUUUUGCGACCAAAGGUGGGGAUCUUCGGACCUGCCGGUCAUGGAGCGGCCCAUGUCCUAUCAGCUUGUUGGUGGGGUAACGGCCUACCAAGGCGACGACGGGUAGCGGGCGUGAGAGCGUGGCCCGCCUCAUCGGAACUGAGACACUGUCCGGACACCUACGGGUGGCUGCAGUAACGAAUAUUGGGCAAUGGGCGAAAGCCUGACCCAGCAAUGCCGCGUGCAGGAGGAAGUCCUUCGGGAUGUAAACUGCUGUCAGGGACUAGAAAGAUCUGAUCGGUCCCAGAGGAAGCCCCGGCUAACUACGUGCCAGCAGCCGCGGUAAUACGUAGGGGGCGAGCGUUGAUCGGAAUCACUGGGCUUAAAGAGCGUGUAGGCA
This 588-nucleotide ribosomal RNA is filed under the name Phycisphaerales bacterium. RNAcentral's name for it is "bacterial SSU rRNA". It matches the Rfam family "Bacterial small subunit ribosomal RNA", at positions 1 to 577 of the family's 1533-position model. Lineage: Bacteria; Pseudomonadati; Planctomycetota; Phycisphaerae; Phycisphaerales. The record is from RNAcentral.